CCUCCGGUAGCUCAGUUGGUAGUAGCAUCUGUUUGAAGCACAGAAGGUCGUCGGUUCGAUUCCGACCUGGGGGGC
This 75-nucleotide transfer RNA is filed under the name Tolypothrix sp. NIES-4075. Its description in RNAcentral is "tRNA-Phe". It matches the Rfam family "tRNA". From Rfam's summary of the family: Transfer RNA (tRNA) molecules are approximately 80 nucleotides in length. Lineage: Bacteria; Bacillati; Cyanobacteriota; Cyanophyceae; Nostocales; Tolypothrichaceae. The record is from RNAcentral.